This 246-nucleotide ribosomal RNA is filed under the name uncultured bacterium. RNAcentral's name for it is "partial 16S ribosomal RNA". It matches the Rfam family "Bacterial small subunit ribosomal RNA", at positions 524 to 769 of the family's 1533-position model. The record is from RNAcentral.
UACGAAGGAUGCAAGCGUUAUCCGGAUUCAUUGGGUUUAAAGGGAGCGUAGGUGGCCUUAUAAGUCAGUGGUGAAAUCUCUGGGCUUAACCCAGAAAUUGCCAUUGAUACUGUAGGGCUUGAGUAUAGUUGCCGUUGGCGGAAUAUGACAUGUAGCGGUGAAAUGCAUAGAUAUCGUCAAGAACACCGAUAGCGAAGGCAGCUUACUGGGCUGUAACUGACGCUGAUGCACGAAAGUGUGGGGAUC